CUUGGCACUACCCACAGGGGACAUUUUGACAUCACUACAUCUUGUACCCAGGUGGUGUGAAUCUUCUCUCCAGCCUUGGCUCUUCCACAGGGGACAUUGUGUCAUAUGGCUGGGCCCCACACAUAGGUUAUAUGACUCUCCUGCCUGUGCCCUGCCCAUGUGGGCCACUGUGACUUUUGCUGAGUCCAACACCCAGGUGAUGUAACUCUACUGCCUAGGUCCUGCCUACAGAAGAUCUUGUGACAUAUCCCUGCACCCAUCACACAGGAGGGGAUUGUAGCAUAUUCCUAAUGGAGCACCAAGGUGAUGUGACACUGCUGCCUGGUCCCUGCCCUCAGAGAAGAUUGUGACAUAUCACUGCCCCGAAACCCAGGUGUGAUUGUUACAUACACCUCUGCCCAGCACCUGAGUGAUUUGACUCUUCUGCUUGGGCCCAGCGUACAGAUGGGAUUGUGCCGCAUUGCUGGACCCAGCACUUAGGUGAUGACAGAAUUGUAACAUAUCCCUGGCUGAGCACUCAGGUGAUGUGACACUCCUGCUUGGCUUCUUCCCUCAGCAGAUUAUGAGAUAUCCAUGGCUGAAAUCCAGGGGGAAUUGUGACAUAUCACUUGGCCCAGUACCAAGCAAGUGUGACUGUUCUAUUCAUCAUAAGUCCUGCUUUCAAGGGAGAUUGGGACAUAUUGUGGGGCUCAACACCAAUGUGACAUUACUGUUUUGCCUUGGCCCAGACCUUAAAGGCACUGUGACGUAUUGCUCGGCUCAGCAACAAGGUGACGAGAGAUCCUGUGUGGACAUUGACAACAGAGAGCAUUGUGACAUAUCUUUGGGAGCAUCAGCUAUUUGAUGUGACUCUCCUUUUAUACCAAGGCUUUGCUCAUAGGGGAGACCGUGAUGUAUCUUCUGGCCCAGAAAUCAGGCGAUGUGUUUCUCCUGCCUGAGCUUUGCUCACAGGGAGCAUUGUGACAUAUCACUGAGCCCAGCACCCAGGUGAUGGGACUCUACUGCCUGUCCCCUGCUUUCAGGAGGAAAUUGUAACAUAUCUCUGACCAAGCACCCAGGUGAUAAGUCUUCUGCCUGGUGCCUGUUCUCAGGGAAGAUUGUGACAUAUCCCUGGCCCAGCAACCAGAUGAUGCAGAUGACGUAUCUCUCCUGCUCACUCUCUAUCCACAGGUUCUGCCCACAAAGGAGAUUGUGGCAUACUGCUGGGCCUAACACUAAGGUGAUGUUACUUCUCUGCUUUGGCUAUGUCCUUAGAAGGCAUUGAGACACACUGCUGGGCCCAGCACCAAGAUGAUGUGAGUCCUCUGCCUGAACCCUGACCACAGGGAGCAUUGUGACAUAUUUCUUGACCCACUGCAAUCUCUCCUAUGGACAAAGCCCAGGCCCUGCUUACAUUGUGUCUGUUGAAAUACGGCUGGUCCAACACCUAGAGGACUGCCUCCUUUUUAAAAUCUCAG
Molecule: long non-coding RNA, 1457 nt
Filed under: Homo sapiens (human)
Lineage: Eukaryota; Metazoa; Chordata; Mammalia; Primates; Hominidae
Description: non-protein coding LINC00664:6
Source: RNAcentral